This 430-nucleotide ribosomal RNA is filed under the name uncultured bacterium. RNAcentral's name for it is "partial 16S ribosomal RNA". It matches the Rfam family "Bacterial small subunit ribosomal RNA", at positions 29 to 506 of the family's 1533-position model. The record is from RNAcentral.
AACGAACGCUGGCGGCAUGCCUAACACAUGCAAGUCGAACGAGACCUUCGGGUCUAGUGGCGCACGGGUGCGUAACGCGUGGGAACCUGCCCUUAGGUUCGGAAUAACUCCCCGAAAGGGGUGCUAAUACCGGAUAAUGUCUUCGGACCAAAGAUUUAUCGCCUUUGGAUGGGCCCGCGUUGGAUUAGCUAGUUGGUAGGGUAAAAGCCUACCAAGGCGACGAUCCAUAGCUGGUCUGAGAGGAUGAUCAGCCACACUGGGACUGAGACACGGCCCAGACUCCCGGGGGGGGCAGGUGUGGGAAAUUGGGGACAGGGCGCAAGCGCGAGACCCAAAAACCCCGUGAGGGUGAUGGGGGUUUUGGGGUUAUAAAUCUUUUUUCCCGGAGAUGAAAGUCAGAGUCGGGGGAGAAAACGCCCGCUAACACCCC